AGAAUCAACGCUGGCGGCGUGCCUAACACAUGCAAGUCGAACGAGAAAGUGGAGCAAUCCAUGAGUAAAGUGGCGACCGGGUGAGUAACACGUGACUAACCUACCUUCGAGUGGGGGAUAACCUCGGGAAACCGAGGCUAAUACCGCAUAACAUCGCAAGAUCAAAGCAGCAAUGCGCUGGAAGAGGGGGUCGCGGCUGAUUAGCUAGUUGGCGGGUAACGGCCCACCGAAGGCGAAGAUCGGUA
This 245-nucleotide ribosomal RNA is filed under the name uncultured bacterium. RNAcentral describes it as "partial small subunit ribosomal RNA". It matches the Rfam family "Bacterial small subunit ribosomal RNA", at positions 26 to 285 of the family's 1533-position model. The record is from RNAcentral.